CUACAGCUUGUAAUUUGGCUACUGAGAAAGUGAACGAAUUGACUAUUAGCAUAGAGGGAAAGAGCAUGGAUGAAAAGAAAAAUCUGCUAGCUAAAUGUGCUGCUACAACAUUAUCAUCAAAACUCAUUGGUGGGGAGAAGGAGUUUUUUGCAUCCAUGGUUGUUGAUGCUGUUAUUGCAAUUGGAAAUGAAGACAGGCUGAAUAUGAUUGGAAUCAAGAAGGUUCCUGGAGGUACUAUGUGCGAUUCAUUCCUUGUAAAUGGUGUUGCCUUCAAGAAGACAUUUUCAUAUGCUGGUUUUGAACAACAGCCUAAAAAGUUUGUAAAUCCCAAGAUACUUUUACUCAACAUAGAGUGGAACUGAAAUCAGAGAAAGAAAACGCAGAGAUAAGGCUUUUUGAUCCAUCACAGUAUCAAUCAAUAGUUGAUGCAGAGUGGAAUAUCAUUUAUGACAAGUUGGAUAAAUGUGUCAAGAGUGGGGCGAAAGUUGUUUUGUCUCGACUUGCUAUUGGUGAUCUGGCUACACAG
Ipomoea nil (Japanese morning glory) is the source of this 526-nucleotide long non-coding RNA. RefSeq lists it as uncharacterized. The transcript is spliced from 4 exons. NCBI's taxonomy places the organism in Eukaryota, Viridiplantae, Streptophyta, Magnoliopsida, Solanales, Convolvulaceae. The record is from RefSeq and is a predicted model, not a curated record.